CUCCUACGCCAGCUGGACUUCAACAGCUCCAAAGAUGUGGCUGUAAUGCAGUUGAGAAGCGGCUCCAAGUUUCCCGUCUUCAACAUGUCCUACAACCCGGCUGAGAACGCUGUGCUCCUCUGCACGAGGCCGAGCAACUUGGAGAACAGCACCUACGACCUCUACACCAUUCCCAAGGAUGCCGAUUCCCAGAACCCCGAUGGUGAG
Molecule: long non-coding RNA, 207 nt
Organism: Thamnophis elegans (Western terrestrial garter snake)
Lineage: Eukaryota; Metazoa; Chordata; Lepidosauria; Squamata; Natricidae
Exons: 3
Source: RefSeq, a predicted model, not a curated record